GGCUCAGAAUGAACGUUGGCGGCGUGGAUUAGGCAUGCAAGUCGUGCGAGAAUCUUCCUUCGGGAAGUGGACAGCGGCGAAAGGGAGAGUAAUACGUAGAAAUCUACCUUCAAGCCCGGGAUAGCGUCGGGAAACUGGCGGUAAUACCGGAUAAUAUCUCCGGAUCAAAGGUGUGAUUCCGCUUGAAGAUGAGUCUACGUCCUAUUAGCUAGUUGGCGGGGUAAUGGCCCACCAAGGCAACGAUGGGUAGCGGGUGUGAGAGCAUGAUCCGCCUCACUGGGACUGAGACACUGCCCAGACACCUACGGGUGGCUGCAGUCGAGAAUCUUUGUCAAUGGACGAAAGUCUGAACAAGCGACGCCGCGUGCGGGAUGAAGGCCUUCGGGUUGUAAACCGCUGUCGUAGGGGAACAAAUGUAUGGGGGUUCUCUCCUUUACUUGAGUGAUCCUAGGAGGAAGGACGGGCUAAGUUCGUGCCAGCAGCCGCGGUAAGACGAACCGUCCAAACGUUAUUCGGUAUCACUGGGCUUAAAGAGUUCGUAGGCGGCCAUGCAGGUCAGGUGUGAAACCCCACAGCUCAACUGUGGAACUGCGCUUGAAACCGCAUGGCUUGAGGGAGAUAGAGGUGAGCGGAACAGAUGGUGGAGCGGUGAAAUGCGUUGAUAUCAUCUGGAACACCGGUGGCGAAAGCGGCUCACUGGAUCUCUUCUGACGCUCAGGAACGAAAGCUAGGGUAGCGAACGGGAUUAGAUACCCCGGUAGUCCUAGCCGUAAACCAUGAGCACUAGUCCGAGGGGACUCUCAAGUCCUCUCGGACGUAGCGAAAGUAUUAAGUGCUCCGACUGGAGAGUAU
Molecule: ribosomal RNA, 852 nt
Filed under: uncultured organism
Description: bacterial SSU rRNA
Rfam family: Bacterial small subunit ribosomal RNA
Source: RNAcentral